RNAcentral lists this transfer RNA (87 nucleotides) under Verrucomicrobiota bacterium. RNAcentral describes it as "Verrucomicrobia bacterium (freshwater metagenome) tRNA-Leu". It matches the Rfam family "tRNA". Rfam says of the family: Transfer RNA (tRNA) molecules are approximately 80 nucleotides in length. Their secondary structure includes four short double-helical elements and three loops (D, anti-codon, and T loops). The record is from RNAcentral. Lineage: Bacteria; Pseudomonadati; Verrucomicrobiota.
GCCGGCGUGGCGGAAUUGGCAGACGCGCCAGACUCAAAAUCUGGUAUCCGCAAGGAUGUGUGGGUUCGACCCCCUCCGCCGGCACCA